GAGUAAGAUGGCAGGUUCACGGCUGUUCUUUGUAACGUCUGAAACUUGUUCGAAUUAAAUGCGGAAGGGGCACGCCUGGACCAAUGAUGUAAAGGGAAUGCAUCUGAAUAAAAAUUAUGAUCAGUCAUGUUUGAACCACUGAGGUCCACGGCGAAAAGAGAGCUGGUGUAUAACUUGCGGGGGGGUGACCUCAGGGAAGUGAGACUCUAGUUGAGAGGGUUCAUGGACAUUGGUUUUAUAUUACUACUGGAUAAAUGAAUGGGUCAAUAAACAGAUACGUGUGAAAGAAAAGAAAGAGGUCAGAACACAGACCAAUUUUGAAGCUGUGAAAGAAAACAAGGAAUAUUACUUCAGUUCUGUAACACCUUGGUCCAUUAAGAAAACAUAUACCUGAAGUGUUACCACUUUAUGUUAGAAGCAGCUAAAAAGAGGUGUUUAAUAGUCAAUGCUUUGCUCUUAGUUUGAAGUAGAUUACUAGCUGUUUGACUCAGGAAGAAAUGAGGAUUAAACAAAUGGUUAACUAAGUGGAUGGAUGCAAAAUAUGAACCAUUGAUGGAUGUAUUGUAUUCUUUUUGACAUCUGCUUUGUGCCCCAGAAUGGCUGCACCUUGUUUGUUUCCGUCCUUAUUUAAUGAUGAAGAUCUUGGCUCUUACCUUUGUGGCCAAGGAGAGCAGAGAGAUUAGGGUAAGUAACAGAUGAAAUAUUUAUUCGUGGUUUCAUCAUUUUGUUUAUGGAUGGCCUAUAAUUCUUAAAAAGAAGAGAUGUCUUCAUGCAAUCAUAAAACAAAUCAAAGCAGCACAGGCAGAGACCAAUGAUAAAAACUGGCCUGAAAAGGAUCAUGGCUCAAUCAUUUUGCAAAACCGAAAAAACAGGUUUCCAUUAGAAAGGUUGAUUGCCCCCUCUUAGAGUAAGAGGAUUAUAGGCACUUCUAGGCUUGGUCAAGGAUCUUGUUCUUGGGUUGGUUGUGUUUUCCUUGGGUUAUAAAUAAUCAACCACAAAAUAAGCUGGUAAAAAAAAGAAACAUAAAAAUUAAAGAUAAAGAGCCAGUAAAAUCACAGCGGCCACUCAUGACCAAUGAUGUAAUUAUUCAUAAAACAAGAAUUUGUUUAAUUCAACUUUGGGAGUUCCUGUCGUGGCACAGUGGUUCACGAAUCCGACUAGGAACCAUGAGGUUGCGGGUUCGAUCCCUGACCUUGCUCAGUGGGUUAAGGAUCCGGCAUUGCCGUGAGCUGUGGUGUAGGUUGCAGACACGGCUCAGAUCCUGCAUUGCUGUGGCUGUGGUGUAGGCUGGUGGCUACAGCUCCGAUCCGACCCCUAGCCUGGGAACCUCCAUAUGCCAUGAGAGCAGCCCAAGAAAUGGCAAAAAGACACACAAAAAAGAAGUACACAGACUUAACAGUCAAAAAUUCCUCCCUUGUUUGGAAGUAGAGUCUUUACUUUUGACUUUAUUUUUGAAAAUGAGUACCUGACUAAAUUAACAACAAGGGAAAAUUUACAUAUAAAGAAAAUUAAAAUAACCCAAGUGUCCCAGUGAUACAAGUGUACGAAACAAGAAUUAUCAUCAACCCAAUUUUGCCUGUUUGAGAUCCACUUAACCUAAGAGAUUUAAUGUUACAUUGGACAUAGAUAAAUAUGUGUGUCUGUAUCUUUGUAUCUACGUGUGUGUGUGUGUGUGUGUGUGUGUGAGUGUGUAGAGGACGUGGUUUAUCAUGAGGACAUAGAUGGUAAAAUGUCUAUAGAUUUUGUUCUUGCAUUUUAGUGGGUUCAGGAGUGUUACUGUGUUCAUCAUUAUUACUGUUUAUUAUUGUAAAUCAGUCCGUGAAAAAUUAAAUGAGAAGAAGUCAAAUCAUGGGCCAGUGAAACAAGGAUUGUGAUUAUUACAGUUCUGCCCCACUGACACUCAUGAACUGAAACAUUUUUAAAAUAUUUGUUUUAAUAGUAUCUGGUAUAUAGUACUACAUGUUGUACUGACAUAAUUUGGAUAGUUUUGCAUGCUUCUCACCUAGGUUGUUUUUUUUUCCCCUCCAUCAGGCACAGAUACUAGUGACCUGAUUGGAGGUAAUGACAGGAGGCCCCCCUACCCCCUAUUUUAUGUUUUUCUGGCACUUUGUACCUGGGAGAGUGCUCCAGUAACUGAUGCUAAGUAUUCAUUUCAGCUCAGCAAGGACUGCUUCAAGUCUGUGUCAGGCUCUGGGCCGGUCAUGGCGUUCAUAUCUCAAUCUGAUCUCAUUCCCGCAUUCAAGCGGCUCCUUAGGCUUAGGUGGAGACCUACGUAUAAAGGUAGUAAUUCAGUAUCAUAAGGCCGGUAGGUGAGCUUUCCAGACGCACAAACGGCAGGACCCCAGUUCAGUUUUACGUGUCAAAUGCUUUAUAAAAGUGAAGAUGCCUGAGCCACUAAGCAACUCCGUUGGCUGAAAGGUCCGUGAAGUUAGACAUCAUACCCCAUCCAGGGCUCUGCCCAAUGCAGUUAGCACAGAGAGCCCACCUAAGCCGUUUGUUAAAUGACCCAUUGACUCAAUGAUGAAAGACAGAGAGAAUGAAUGAAUGAAGCGACGAGUUAGUCAAUGAAUGAGUCUUGGAGUAAGC
This 2586-nucleotide long non-coding RNA is filed under the name Sus scrofa (pig). RNAcentral's name for it is "lncRNA (ENSSSCG00065040099.1)". The stretch from base 77 to 149 matches the Rfam family "Small nucleolar RNA SNORD113/SNORD114 family". Lineage: Eukaryota; Metazoa; Chordata; Mammalia; Artiodactyla; Suidae. The record is from RNAcentral.